RNAcentral lists this ribosomal RNA (490 nucleotides) under uncultured bacterium. Its description in RNAcentral is "partial 16S ribosomal RNA". It matches the Rfam family "Bacterial small subunit ribosomal RNA", at positions 30 to 507 of the family's 1533-position model. The record is from RNAcentral.
AUUGAACGCUGGCGGCAGGCCUAACACAUGCAAGUCGAACGGUAACAGGAAGAAGCUUGCUUCUUUGCUGACGAGUGGCGGAAGGGUGAGUAAUGUCUGGGAAACUGCCGGAUGGAGGGGGAUAAUUACUGGAAACGGUAGCUAAUACCGCAUAACGUCGCAAGACCAAAGAGGGGGACCUUCGGGCCUCUUGUCAUAGGAUGUGCCCAGAUGGGAUUAGCUAGUAGGUGGGGUAACGGCUCACCUAGGCGACGAUCCCUAGCUGGUCUGAGAGGAUGACCAGCCACACUGGAACUGAGACACGGUCCACACUCCUACGGGAGGCAGCAGUGGGGAAUAUUGCACAAUGGGCGCAAGCCUGAUGCAGCCAUGCCGCGUGUAUGAAGAAGGCCUUCGGGUUGUAAAGUACUUUCAGCGGGGAGGAAGGGACUAAAGUUAAUACCUUUGCUCAUUGACGUUACCCGCAGAAUAAGCACCGGCUAACUCCGUG